GAUGAACGCUAGCGGCACGGACCUAACACAUGCAAGUCGGAGGGCAUCAGUGGCGUAGCAAUACGCUGAGUGGCGACCGGCGCGACGGGUGCGUAACGCGUAUCGGAACCUACCCACCGCGAGGGGACUAACCCGCCGAAAGGCGGACUAAUACCCCAUGGUUCCCCGACCCUGCCUGGGGUUGGGGGUAAAGCCUACGGGCGGCGGUGGAUGGCCCUGCGUGCCAUUAGCUGGCUGGUGGGGUAACGGCCCACCAGGGCGACGAUGGCUAGGGGGUCUGAGAGGACGAUCCCCCACACUGGUACUGAGACACGGACCAGACCCCUACGGGAGGCAGCAGUGAGGAAUAUUGGACAAUGGAUGGAAAUCUGAUCCAGCCAUGCCGCGUGCAGGAAGACAGCCCUAUGGGUUGUAAACUGCUUUUAUAUGGGAGCAAUAAGGUCUACGUGUAGACUGAUGAGAGUACCAUAUGAAUAAGCAUCGGCUAACUCCGUG
This 495-nucleotide ribosomal RNA is filed under the name uncultured bacterium. RNAcentral describes it as "bacterial SSU rRNA". It matches the Rfam family "Bacterial small subunit ribosomal RNA", at positions 28 to 507 of the family's 1533-position model. The record is from RNAcentral.